Molecule: ribosomal RNA, 411 nt
Filed under: uncultured bacterium
Lineage: Bacteria
Description: bacterial SSU rRNA
Rfam family: Bacterial small subunit ribosomal RNA
Source: RNAcentral
UAGGGAAUAUUGCGCAAUGGAGGAAACUCUGACGCAGCGACGCCGCGUGAAGGAUGAAGUAUUUCGGUAUGUAAACUUCGAAAGAAUAGGAAGAAUAAAUGACGGUACUAUUUAUAAGGUCCGGCUAACUACGUGCCAGCAGCCGCGGUAAUACGUAGGGACCAAGCGUUGUUCGGAUUUACUGGGCGUAAAGCGUGCGUAGUCGGUAUUGAGAGUCACGGGUGAAAUCCCAGGGCUUAACCCUGGAACUGCCUGUGAGACCUCAGUACUAGAGUGUGAGAGGGGAUAGUGGAAUACCCAGUGUAGCGGUGAAAUGCGUAGAUAUUAGGAAGAACACCAGUGGCGAAGGCGGCCAACUGGCUCGAUACUGACGCUGAGGUGCGAAAGCGUGGGGAGCAAACAGGAUUAGAU